UGGGGUACUGGGGCUUAGACGACGCUGGCGGCGUGCCUAAUACAUGCAAGUCGAGCGGACCUCUUCGGAGGUCAGCGGCGGACGGGUGAGUAACACGUGGGCAACCUGCCUGUAAGACUGGGAUAACUCCGGGAAACCGGAGCUAAUACCGGAUACUAUGUCAAACCGCAUGGUUUGACAUUCAAAGACGGUUUCGGCUGUCACUUACAGAUGGGCCCGCGGCGCAUUAGCUAGUUGGUGAGGUAAUGGCUCACCAAGGCGACGAUGCGUAGCCGACCUGAGAGGGUGAUCGGCCACACUGGGACUGAGACACGGCCCAGACUCCUACGGGAGGCAGCAGUAGGGAAUCUUCCGCAAUGGACGAAAGUCUGACGGAGCAACGCCGCGUGAGUGAUGAAGGUUUUCGGAUCGUAAAACUCUGUUGUCAGGGAAGAACAAGUGCCGGAGUAACUGCCGGCGCCUUGACGGUACCUGACCAGAAAGCCACGGCUAACUACGUGCCAGCCGCCGCGGUAAU
This 517-nucleotide ribosomal RNA is filed under the name Bacillus sp. L32. RNAcentral describes it as "bacterial SSU rRNA". It matches the Rfam family "Bacterial small subunit ribosomal RNA", at positions 33 to 524 of the family's 1533-position model. The record is from RNAcentral. Lineage: Bacteria; Bacillati; Bacillota; Bacilli; Caryophanales; Bacillaceae.